GGAUGUGGCUUAGUGGUAGAGUGCUUGUCUGGCAUGCAUGAGGUCCUGGGUUUGAUUCCCAGCACUG
This 67-nucleotide transfer RNA is filed under the name Marmota monax (woodchuck). RNAcentral's name for it is "tRNA.Ala". It matches the Rfam family "tRNA", at positions 6 to 65 of the family's 71-position model. From Rfam's summary of the family: Transfer RNA (tRNA) molecules are approximately 80 nucleotides in length. Their secondary structure includes four short double-helical elements and three loops (D, anti-codon, and T loops). Further hydrogen bonds mediate the characteristic L-shaped molecular structure. tRNAs have two regions of fundamental functional importance: the anti-codon, which is responsible for specific mRNA codon recognition, and the 3' end, to which the tRNAs corresponding amino acid is attached (by aminoacyl-tRNA synthetases). tRNAs cope with the degeneracy of the genetic code in two manners: having more than one tRNA (with a specific anti-codon) for a particular amino acid; and 'wobble' base-pairing, i.e. permitting non-standard base-pairing at the 3rd anti-codon position. The record is from RNAcentral. Lineage: Eukaryota; Metazoa; Chordata; Mammalia; Rodentia; Sciuridae.